GAUGAACGCUGGCGGCGUGCCUAAUACAUGCAAGUCGAGCGAACAGACGAGGAGCUUGCUCCUCUGACGUUAGCGGCGGACGGGUGAGUAACACGUGGAUAACCUACCUAUAAGACUGGGAUAACUUCGGGAAACCGGAGCUAAUACCGGAUAAUAUAUUGAACCGCAUGGUUCAAUAGUGAAAGACGGUUUUGCUGUCACUUAUAGAUGGAUCCGCGCCGCAUUAGCUAGUUGGUAAGGUAACGGCUUACCAAGGCAACGAUGCGUAGCCGACCUGAGAGGGUGAUCCGCCACACUGGAACUGAGACACGGUCCAGACUCCUACGGGAGGCAGCAGUAGGGAAUCUUCCGCAAUGGGCGAAAGCCUGACGGAGCAACGCCGCGUGAGUGAUGAAGGUCUUCGGAUCGUAAAACUCUGUUAUUAGGGAAGAACAAAUGCGUAAGUAACUAUGCACGUCUUGACGGUACCUAAUCAGAAAGCCACGGCUAACUACGUG
Molecule: ribosomal RNA, 497 nt
Filed under: uncultured bacterium
Lineage: Bacteria
Description: partial 16S ribosomal RNA
Rfam family: Bacterial small subunit ribosomal RNA
Source: RNAcentral